RNAcentral lists this ribosomal RNA (465 nucleotides) under uncultured bacterium. RNAcentral's name for it is "partial 16S ribosomal RNA". It matches the Rfam family "Bacterial small subunit ribosomal RNA", at positions 338 to 795 of the family's 1533-position model. The record is from RNAcentral.
CCUACGGGUGGCAGCAGUGGGGAAUAUUGCGCAAUGGGCGAAAGCCUGACGCAGCGACGCCGCGUGAGGGAUGAAGGUCUUCGGAUCGUAAACCUCUGUCAGCAGUGCAGAACGGUCACUGUGCUAAUCAGCAGUGAAUUGACGGUACCUACAAAGGCAGCACCGGCUAACUCCGUGCCAGCAGCCGCGGUAAUACGGAGGGUGCGAGCGUUAAUCGGAAUUACUGGGCGUAAAGCGCUCGUAGGCGGUAAGUCAAGUCAAGUGUGAAAGCCCCGCGCUUAACGUGGGAACUGCCUUUGAAACUGGAAAACUGGAGUGUGUGAGAGGAUAGUGGAAUUCCAGGUGUAGGAGUGAAAUCCGUAGAUAUCUGGAGGAACAUCAGUGGCGAAGGCGACUAUCUGGCACAUAACUGACGCUGAGGAGCGAAAGCGUGGGUAGCAAACAGGAUUAGAUACCCCUGUAGUC